UUUGAAGAUAGAUUUAUGCGAGUUGCAAUCUCUAGUUAAUCCUCUGAUUCUUCUCUUCCAUUUGAUUCUUGAACAAACUCGAAGGUUCUUGAAAUACUUGUUUUGAUGACGCCAUCCAAAGGACUUAAGUCAUGAUUUUGGAUUGAACGUUGAACUUGAUUUGAUUUGAGAAGAACGUUCUUAGAAUUUUGUAAGAACGCCUUGAAGCUUUCGAACUU
Molecule: long non-coding RNA, 218 nt
Filed under: Salvia miltiorrhiza (redroot sage)
Lineage: Eukaryota; Viridiplantae; Streptophyta; Magnoliopsida; Lamiales; Lamiaceae
Description: long non-coding RNA (SMIL_LNC002682)
Source: RNAcentral